AACGAACGCUGGCGGCAUGCCUAACACAUGCAAGUCGAACGAAGGCUUCGGCCUUAGUGGCGCACGGGUGCGUAACGCGUGGGAAUCUGCCCUUUGCUUCGGAAUAACAGUUAGAAAUGACUGCUAAUACCGGAUGAUGUCGCAAGACCAAAGAUUUAUCGGCAAAGGAUGAGCCCGCGUAGGAUUAGCUAGUUGGUGGGGUAAAGGCCUACCAAGGCGACGAUCCUUAGCUGGUCUGAGAGGAUGAUCAGCCACACUGAGACUGAGACACGGCCCAGACUCCUACGGGAGGCAGCAGUGGGGAAUAUUGGACAAUGGGCGAAAGCCUGAUCCAGCAAUGCCGCGUGAGUGAUGAAGGCCUUAGGGUUGUAAAGCUCUUUUACCCGGGAUGAUAAUGACAGUACCGGGAGAAUAAGCUCCGGCUAACUCCGUG
Molecule: ribosomal RNA, 433 nt
Filed under: uncultured bacterium
Lineage: Bacteria
Description: partial 16S ribosomal RNA
Rfam family: Bacterial small subunit ribosomal RNA
Source: RNAcentral